Molecule: ribosomal RNA, 425 nt
Filed under: Tremella latispora
Lineage: Eukaryota; Fungi; Basidiomycota; Tremellomycetes; Tremellales; Tremellaceae
Description: SSU rRNA
Rfam family: Bacterial small subunit ribosomal RNA
Source: RNAcentral
AUUAUCCUAUCAGUCCUGUCAAAAUUCUGUGCCAGCAGACGCGGUAAUACAGAAAGGGCAACCCAUCGGAAUUUUAAAUAGGUGUAAAGGGUACGUAGCCAGUUAUUUUCUAAUAACUAGAGUCAAACAGAGGAACUAACAAUACCUAGAGUAGGGCUGAUAUCUUAUAAUACUAGGGGGAGAACCUAUAGCGAAAGCAUAGUUCUAGAUACUGACUGACGGUAAGGUACGAAGGCUGAGGCAGGAAUAAGGAUUAGAUACCCUAGUACUCUCAGCUGUAAACAAUGCAAAUUAAAGAUAUGUUAUAUUUGGUAUGUCUUGAUGCUAACGCGUUAAAUUUGCCACCUGUAGAGUAUAGUCCCAUGACUGAAAUACAAAUAAUUAGACGGUCUGUGAGCAAACGGAGUGGAGCAUGUUAUUUAAUU